This 440-nucleotide ribosomal RNA is filed under the name uncultured bacterium. RNAcentral's name for it is "partial 16S ribosomal RNA". It matches the Rfam family "Bacterial small subunit ribosomal RNA", at positions 338 to 795 of the family's 1533-position model. The record is from RNAcentral.
CCUACGGGUAGCAGCAGUGGGGAAUAUUGCACAAUGGGGGAAACCCUGAUGCAGCGACGCCGCGUGAAGGAAGAAGUAUUUCGGUAUGUAAACUUCUAUCAGCAGGGAAGAAAGUGACGGUACCUGACUAAGAAGCCCCGGCUAACUACGUGCCAGCAGCCGCGGUCAUACGUAGGGGGGACGCGUUAGUCGGAUUUACUGGGGGUAAAGGGAGCGUAGACGGCGAUGCAUGUCUGAAGUGAAAGGCGGGGGCCCAACCCCCGGACUGCUGUGGAAACUGUAUGGCUGGAGUGCAGGAGAGGUAAGUGGAAUUCGUAGUGUAGCGGUGAAAUGCGUAGAUAUUAGGAGGAACACCAGUGGCGAAGGCGGCUUACUGGACUGUAACUGAUGUUGAGGCUCGAAAGCGUGGGGAGCAAACAGGAUUAGAUACCCGAGUAGUC